CCUACGGGGGGCAGCAGUGAGGAAUAUUGGUCAAUGGACGAGAGUCUGAACCAGCCAAGUAGCGUGAAGGAUGACUGCCCUAUGGGUUGUAAACUUCUUUUAUAUGGGAAUAAAAUGUUCCACGUGUGGGAUUUUGUAUGUACCAUAUGAAUAAGGAAAGGCUAAAUCCGUGCCAGCAGCCGCGGUAAUACGGAGGAUCCGAGCGUUAUCCGGAUUUAUUGGGUGUAAAGGGAGCGUAGGUGGUUUGUUAAGUUAGUUGUGAAAGUUUGCGGCUCAACCGGAAAAUUGCAGUUGACACUGGCAGUCUUGAGUACAGUAGGGAGGGGCGGAAUUCGUGGUGUAGCGGUGAAAUGCUUAGAUAUCACGAAGAACUCCGAUUGCGAAGGCAGUUCACUGGACUGCAACUGACGCUGAGGCUCGAAAGUGUGGGUAUCAAACAGGAUUAGAUACCCGAGUAGUC
This 460-nucleotide ribosomal RNA is filed under the name uncultured bacterium. RNAcentral describes it as "partial 16S ribosomal RNA". It matches the Rfam family "Bacterial small subunit ribosomal RNA", at positions 338 to 795 of the family's 1533-position model. The record is from RNAcentral.